RNAcentral lists this ribosomal RNA (455 nucleotides) under uncultured organism. RNAcentral's name for it is "partial 16S ribosomal RNA". It matches the Rfam family "Bacterial small subunit ribosomal RNA", at positions 330 to 801 of the family's 1533-position model. The record is from RNAcentral.
CGUACACUCCUGCGGGAGGCAGCAGUGGGGAAUAUUGGACAAUGGGCGCAAGCCUGAUCCAGCCAUGCCGCGUGAGUGAUGAAGGCCCUAGGGUUGUAAAGCUCUUUCACCGGUGAAGAUAAUGACGGUAACCGGAGAAGAAGCCCCGGCUAACUUCGUGCCAGCAGCCGCGGUAAUACGAAGGGGGCUAGCGUUGUUCGGAUUUACUGGGCGUAAAGCGAACGUAGGCGGACUAUUAAGUCAGGGGUGAAAUCCCGGGGCUCAACCCCGGAACUGCCUUUGAUACUGGUAGUCUUGAGUUCGAGAGAGGUGAGUGGAAUUCCGAGUGUAGAGGUGAAAUUCGUAGAUAUUCGGAGGAACACCAGUGGCGAAGGCGGCUCACUGGCUCGAUACUGACGCUGAGGUGCGAAAGCGUGGGGAGCAAACAGGAUUAGAAACCCCAGUAGUCCCAUGAU